GUCGGUCACCGGGACGCGAAUCGCCCUGCAGAGCGAGGGCGGAGAAUCUGGUUCAUGGGCACACAGCCCGCAGCUGGCUCCGGGGGCCCGUGAUUCACCCUGUCCUCGCCGAGUUCGCGCACUGGAAGCCCGCUUCUCCCCGAGAGAAGCACAAAGCCACCACUGUCUCCAGCAACCCAGGGCUUUGCCAGGACUCAAGGACCUUCGAGAGGGAAACAAAAAGGCAUUAGCUCCGGAUGAAGAGGCGUCUGCAGGGGCCCCAGCAGCUCCGCCUCUGCGGCACCCAGGCUCGGGCUCGCUGUCACCUUCCGCACAAUCUCUUUCCCUCUCAGGCCCUGUUCCUCCCAUUAAGUCAGCCCCAGGCCCGAGCCCGCCCCUCCCCCAUCCCAUCAUCCCCAGCGGGACUCGGUUUACCUCCUGGAGUCCCGCCUUCAGCCUCUGCAAAGUGUGAGGCUGCAUCACUGACCCUCCUCUAUCCUCACGUACCCUCCGUUCACCCCACGCAUCGUGACCGAGCGCGCACAGGGUGCCAGAUGCAGCCCCGAGCGCCGAGAUCCUGUCCUGUCUUGGGGUGUCCACAUCUGUCCUGUAGCUCAAGUCACAAAGCCGCGUGGGCCGGGGCCCCGCUAAGGUGAUGCUCUCCAACUCAGGGUGGACUCUCGCCGCGGCCGAUAGAGCCCAUCCCUCCCCUGUGGGCUCCUCGGCCCGACACCCCUCCUUCCCAGUUCUCUCCAGGCUCCGGGGAUCUCCAGCUCCGGGCAAAUGUGCAGCGAAAUGACCGGGGUCCAGCUCGAAAUGCCUUCUCCUUUUACACCUCCUCUCUGCAUCCGCUCCCCUCCAGAGCUCACGUUUUUCAUUUCAUCCCAAGCGCUCAUUCCUCCUCUUCCUGCAAAGUACACUCACUGCUGCGUGCAACCAAGAGCCAAGGACCCCUUUCCUUCCCUUCGCCACCACCAACUUGAAAUAAUAGUUCGCAUCCUUCUUCACCUCUACUGGUGAGGGUCUACUCUCAGAUUCGUAAGAUCUGGCCUCUACAUCCUUCUAUCGUUGUAUGAAAUGGCUUUCUCAAGGACCGCAGGGACUAAAUAACCAAUGUCCAGUUUCAAAUUUUAUUUAUUUACUUAUUUCAGAGAAAGCGAGAGUUGGAGGGAGGGGGAGACAAAGAAUCUCAAGCGGGCUCAAUGCUCAGCAGGGAACCCGACACAGGGCUGAUCCCAUGACCCUGGGAUCAUGACCUGAGCCGAAAUGACGAGUCAGACGCUUGACUGAGCCACCCAAGCGCCCCACCAAUGUUCAGUUUUAACGUGGGUUCAGUGUCCUUCCUUGACGGCUCCUGUCCCCUUCCAGGACUCUGGGCCGCGGUACAGCCGUACCGUUGAAAUGGUUGAGUGUCUCAAGCUAGCGAGACCUACCACAGGCCUCCAGUGGGGGCAGAAUCAAAGGUGGGGUUUAAACAGAAAUUAAGACUCCGGGACACCAAACCACAGACUUCCAGGUGUCAUUAGUUAUCUGUUGCUGCGUAACAAAGUGUCCCCAAACGUAGAGGCUUUGAACAACAGGAACCGUUAUUGAACGGUUUCUGUGGGUCAGGAGUUCAAGAGUGGCUUAGCUGGUGGUUUGCCUCAGGGUCUCUCGUGACACUGCAGUCACCGUGGGUCAGGCCCGCAGUCGCCUGAAGGCGACGGCCAAGAUGGUUGACUCGCAUGGCUGGCAAGCUGGUUCUUCAUCACGGAGGUCUCCACAGGGCUGCUCGUCUGUCCCCAAGACAUGGUGGCCGUCUCCCUCCAGAAUGAGCCAUCAGACAGCAGAAGGCAGAAAGGGUGCAAUGUCUUCAAACACCACAGCUUGGACAGCAGGCAAUGUCAUCCCCGCGUCACCCCUUUGGUCACAGCGGUCAGCUCUAUCUAGUGUGGGAUGGGACCCCACCCAGGCAUGGACACCUGGGGGCAAGGUUGCUCGGGGGCCCUUCGGAGACUCCGGGGGGAACGUGGCUUAUAUGACUACCUAAUUAGUGGCUUUCACAUGGUUUCUUUCUCUUUUUUUUUUAACCAGAACGUUUUCUCAACAACCCUUCUAUUAAAAUUAUACUUCGUGUCCAAAUAAAAAUGGAGAUGUUUAUGUAAGUGCACAGAGGUGUGGGCAUUAACACUUUCAGUAACAGGUCUCCCGGCGAAAUUUGGGGAACAUUUAAAUGCCCCCAAAUGAUGAAAGGCUGCUUAUAUCAACGAUGGAAUGCCAUGCAAUGGGACACUUAGCACCUCUUGGAAAAUUGAGUAUAUUUAUUUGUAUCGACACGGAAAGGUUUACUGUUACAUUUUUUAAAAAGCCAACCGCAAAAUACUACUUAUAGUGUGAUUCUAUUUUUAUUAAAAAAUAUGCACAUACAUA
Felis catus (domestic cat) is the source of this 2388-nucleotide long non-coding RNA. RefSeq lists it as uncharacterized. NCBI's taxonomy places the organism in Eukaryota, Metazoa, Chordata, Mammalia, Carnivora, Felidae. The record is from RefSeq and is a predicted model, not a curated record. The transcript has 2 exons.